AUUGAACGCUAGCGGGAUGCUUUACACAUGCAAGUCGAACGGCAGCGCGGACUUCGGUCUGGCGGCGAGUGGCGAACGGGUGAGUAAUGUAUCGGAACGUGCCCAGUAGCGGGGGAUAACUACGCGAAAGCGUAGCUAAUACCGCAUACGCCCUACGGGGGAAAGCAGGGGAUCGUAAGACCUUGCACUAUUGGAGCGGCCGAUAUCGGAUUAGCUAGUUGGUGAGGUAACGGCUCACCAAGGCGACGAUCCGUAGCUGGUUUGAGAGGACGACCAGCCACCCGGGAAAGAGGACGGGGCCCAGACUCCACGGGGGGGCGACAGUGGGGAGUUUUGGAGGAGGGAGGAAACCCGAAUCCAGAAAUCCGGAGGGGAGGCUGAGGCCGUUGGGGUGGGAAGGAAAUUUUGGCAGGAAGAAAGCGACGCGGCCUAAAACCCGAGGAAAAUGACGGUACCGGAAGAAUAAGCACCGGCUAACUCCGUG
This 484-nucleotide ribosomal RNA is filed under the name uncultured bacterium. Its description in RNAcentral is "partial 16S ribosomal RNA". It matches the Rfam family "Bacterial small subunit ribosomal RNA", at positions 29 to 507 of the family's 1533-position model. The record is from RNAcentral.